This 253-nucleotide ribosomal RNA is filed under the name uncultured bacterium. RNAcentral describes it as "partial 16S ribosomal RNA". It matches the Rfam family "Bacterial small subunit ribosomal RNA", at positions 524 to 776 of the family's 1533-position model. The record is from RNAcentral.
UACGUAGGGUGCAAGCGUUGUCCGGAAUUAUUGGGCGUAAAGAGCGUGUGGGCGGCCCGGUUAGUCCGCUGUGAAAGUCCAGGGCUCAACCCUGGAAUGCCGGUGGAUACUGUCGGGCUAGAGUCCGGAAGGGGCGAGUGGAAUUCCUGGUGUAGCGGUGAAAUGCGCAGAUAUCAGGAGGAACACCAAUGGCGAAGGCAGCUCGCUGGGACGUGACUGACGCUGAGACGCGAAAGCGUGGGGAGCAAACAGG